This 579-nucleotide ribosomal RNA is filed under the name uncultured bacterium. RNAcentral's name for it is "bacterial SSU rRNA". It matches the Rfam family "Bacterial small subunit ribosomal RNA", at positions 338 to 916 of the family's 1533-position model. The record is from RNAcentral.
CCUACGGGAGGCAGCAGUAAGGAAUAUUGGUCAAUGGAGGCAACUCUGAACCAGCCGUGCCGCGUGCAGGAAGACUGCCCUAUGGGUUGUAAACUGCUUUUAUCCGGGAAUAAACCUGCUUACGUGUAAGUAGCUGAAUGUACCGGAAGAAUAAGGAUCGGCUAACUCCGUGCCAGCAGCCGCGGUAAUACGGAGGAUCCAAGCGUUAUCCGGAUUUAUUGGGUUUAAAGGGUGCGUAGGCGGCCUGUUAAGUCAGGGGUGAAAGACGGUAGCUCAACUAUCGCAGUGCCCUUGAUACUGAUGGGCUUGAAUGGACUAGAGGUAGGCGGAAUGAGACAAGUAGCGGUGAAAUGCAUAGAUAUGUCUCAGAACACCGAUUGCGAAGGCAGCUUACUAUGGUCUUAUUGACGCUGAGGCACGAAAGCGUGGGGAUCAAACAGGAUUAGAUACCCUGGUAGUCCACGCCCUAAACGAUGAACACUCGCUGUUGGCGAUACACAGUCAGCGGCUAAGCGAAAGCGUUAAGUGUUCCACCUGGGGAGUACGCCGCAAGGGUUGAAACGUUAAAUUGAUUGACGG